RNAcentral lists this transfer RNA (73 nucleotides) under Microlophus atacamensis. Its description in RNAcentral is "tRNA-Asn". The record is from RNAcentral. Lineage: Eukaryota; Metazoa; Chordata; Lepidosauria; Squamata; Tropiduridae.
CCAGACAGAUGGGCCUCGAUCCCACAAAAAAUUAAUUAACAGCUAACUACCCAAACCAGCGGGCUUCUAUCUG